Molecule: ribosomal RNA, 502 nt
Filed under: uncultured Actinomycetes bacterium
Lineage: Bacteria; Bacillati; Actinomycetota; Actinomycetes
Description: bacterial SSU rRNA
Rfam family: Bacterial small subunit ribosomal RNA
Source: RNAcentral
UGACGCAGCAACGCCGCGUGAGGGAUGACGGCCUUCGGGUUGUAAACCUCUUUCAGCGGGGACGAAGCGAAAGUGACUGUACCCGCAGAAGAAGCGCCGGCUAACUACGUGCCAGCAGCCGCGGUAAUACGUAGGGCGCAAGCGUUGUCCGGAUUUAUUGGGCGUAAAGAGCUCGUAGGCGGUCUGUCGCGUCGGAUGUGAAAACCCGGAACUCAACUCCGGGCCUGCAUUCGAUACGGGCAGACUUGAGUACUGCAGGGGAGACUGGAAUUCCUGGUGUAGCGGUGGAAUGCGCAGAUAUCAGGAGGAACACCGGUGGCGAAGGCGGGUCUCUGGGCAGAAACUGACGCUGAGGAGCGAGAGCGUGGGGAGCGAACAGGAUUAGAUACCCUGGUAGUCCACGCCGUAAACGGUGGGCACUAGGUGUGGGGACCAUUCCACGGUCUCUGCGCCGCAGCUAACGCAUUAAGUGCCCCGCCUGGGGAGUACGGCCGCAAGGCUA